UACGAAGGGUGCAAGCGUUAAUCGGAAUUACUGGGCGUAAAGGGUGCGUAGGCGGUUCGUUAAGUCUGUCGUGAAAUCCCCGGGCUCAACCUGGGAAUGGCGAUGGAUACUGGCGAGCUAGAGUGUGUCAGAGGAUGGUGGAAUUCCACGUGUAGCGGUGAAAUGCGUAGAGAUGUGGAGGAACACCAGUGGCGAAGGCGACUCUUUGGCCUGUAACUGACGCUGAGGCGCGAAAGCGUGGGGAGCAAACAG
This 252-nucleotide ribosomal RNA is filed under the name uncultured bacterium. RNAcentral describes it as "partial 16S ribosomal RNA". It matches the Rfam family "Bacterial small subunit ribosomal RNA", at positions 524 to 775 of the family's 1533-position model. The record is from RNAcentral.